CCCUGCCCUUUGUACACACCGCCCGUCGCUACUACCGAUUGAAUGGCUCAGUGAGGCUUUCGGACUGGCCCAGAGAGGUGGGUGACUACCACUCAGGGCCGGAAAGUUAUCCAAACUCGGUCAUUUAGAGG
RNAcentral lists this ribosomal RNA (131 nucleotides) under Colletotrichum graminicola. RNAcentral describes it as "partial small subunit ribosomal RNA". It matches the Rfam family "Eukaryotic small subunit ribosomal RNA", at positions 1651 to 1779 of the family's 1831-position model. Lineage: Eukaryota; Fungi; Ascomycota; Sordariomycetes; Glomerellales; Glomerellaceae. The record is from RNAcentral.